CCUACGGUUGGCAGCAGUGGGGAAUCAUGGUCAAUGGGCGAAAGCCUGAACCUGCGACGCCGCGUGAGUGAUGAAGGUCGUAAGAUCGUAAAACUCUUUUCAGGGAUCUUAACGCACAGCUGUCAACAACAGCUGUGUCUGACUCUCCCUGGAAGAAGCCCCAGCCAACUACGUGCCAGCAGCUGCGGUAAUACGUAGGGGGCGAGCGUUAUUCGGAAUUACUGGGUGUAAAGGGUAUGUAGGCGGCCCUUCAAGUCGCGUGUCAAAGUCCAGUGCUCAACGCUGGGUGUGCGCGCGAUACUGACGGGCUUGAGGGCUGGAGAGGUGAGCGGAAUUCCCGGUGUAGUGGUAAAAUACGUAGAGAUCGGGAGGAACACCAGCGGCGCAGGCGGCUCACUAGACAGUUUCUGACGCUAAGAUACGAAAGCGUGGGGAGCAAACA
This 442-nucleotide ribosomal RNA is filed under the name uncultured prokaryote. RNAcentral describes it as "bacterial SSU rRNA". It matches the Rfam family "Bacterial small subunit ribosomal RNA", at positions 338 to 774 of the family's 1533-position model. The record is from RNAcentral.